ACAAACGACUCUCGGCAACGGAUAUCUCGGCUCACGCAUCGAUGAAGAACGUAGCAAAAUGCGAUACUUGGUGUGAAUUGCAGAAUCCCGUGAACCAUCGAGUUUUUGAACGCAAGUUGCGCCCGAAGCCAUCCGGCCGAGGGCACGCCUGCCUGGGCGUCACGC
Molecule: ribosomal RNA, 165 nt
Filed under: Hypochaeris achyrophorus
Lineage: Eukaryota; Viridiplantae; Streptophyta; Magnoliopsida; Asterales; Asteraceae
Also listed under: 5 other names
Description: 5.8S ribosomal RNA
Rfam family: 5.8S ribosomal RNA
About the family: 5.8S ribosomal RNA (5.8S rRNA) is a component of the large subunit of the eukaryotic ribosome. It is transcribed by RNA polymerase I as part of the 45S precursor that also contains 18S and 28S rRNA.
Source: RNAcentral